UUUUGUGCAAUUUUCUUGAAAAAAGAAGGUAUUUCGGAAAAAUUCAACUUCCUUUCAUUUUAUCUUUGGCUUUUUUAUAAAACUUCUAGAUUGGAUAUAUGACAAACUUAGUUGAUUUGUGAAAAGAAUUAAUUUAAUUAUUCAUAUUUUAGCAAUUUAUGUAAUUUUAGCCAAAAAUAGAGAUUUAGGCCAAAACUAAAUUGCUAAAAUAUAAAAAUAACCAAAAUCACUUGUAUAAUGAUGAAAAAGUGAUGGAUUUGUGAAAUUUUGGAAAUAAUGGUGAAUUAAUUUUUAUUAUUUAUUAUUUUUGGUAAUCUUUUAUUUUUAGCCUAAAAAUAAGAAUUAGGCCAACAUAAAAUUACAAAAGAUAAUAAAAUAACUAAAAUUAAAGUGGGAAUUGGUCUUCUGGUAGUUCUGAAGUUGUAGAAUUUUUUGAAAUUUAAGGUGAAUUAAUUCAAAUUAUUUACGAUUUCGAGCAAUUUUUGGUAUUUAGCCUAAAAAUAGGAAUUAGGCCUAAAUGAAAUUACUAACACUAAUAAAAUAAUCAAAAUUAAUAUGAAGAAUGAUUUUCUGGUGUUUCUAAAAUUUUUGAAAUUUUAAGUGAAUUAAUUUUAAUUAUUCACUAUUUCUAGCAAUUCUUGAUAUUAAGCCUAAAAAAUAGAAACUAGGUUAAAAUAAAAUCACUAAAAAUUAACCAAAAUUAAUAUGGAGAAUGAUUUUCUAAUGGUUCUGAAAUUUUUUUGAGGCUUGAUUGAUAUUUUUCGAGUACCAUCUAAUUUUGUCAUAAAAAUGACUGUAAAUAAAAAAUCAAGUAAGAAUUUAACUUUAAAAUUCUUCAGUCAUGAACUUGGAUUGAAUUAUGUAGAAUAUGAAUGAUAAUGAUUUUGCUUAAUGGUUUUGGUGUUUAAAAAUGGUUGAAAUUAAUAUUUAGCACUUAUGAUUUUCUAAUGGUUCUGAAAAUUUUUGAGGCUUGAUCGAUAUUUUUCGAGUACCAUCUAAUUUUGUUAUAAAAAUGACUGCAAAUAAAAAAUAAAGGAAGAAUUUAACUUUAAAAUUCUUCAGUCAUGAAUUUGGAUUGAAUUAGGUAGAAUAUGAACUAUAAUGAUUUCACUUAAUGGUUUUGGUGUUUAGAAAUGGAUGAAAUUAAUAUUUAGCACUUAUGAUUUCAGUCUGGUUGCUGAGUAAUCUCAGCUUAUAUUUAAUGGGCAUGGUUUUUUUAUGAAAGUGAUUAGAGAAUGAUAUUGCAGAAUGAUUUUUAAUUUGAAAAGGUUUAGAAAUAUUGUAAGCACCGGAUUUUUUAAUCUAGAUAUCAAAAAAAUUAUGAAAAACCCAAUGAUGAUUGAUGUUUCUUUUAAGUCUCACAGAGAUGAGGAGCGUCAAAGUUCUAUUUAGCGUCAUGCUCGAUCAAGUCAAACAUUUAUUUUUUUGAAAUAAGAACUAAUAAAUUGGGUCAAAUUGACUAAGAUAGUCAAAAUUGGGUCAAAAUCAAUUGAAUAGUCAAAAUUAGGGACCAAAUCAAAAGUUUUUCAACCAUUGCCAGCUUCUAGAGCCAACAAGGGCUCUACACAAUUUUGGUUGGCUUAAAAUUUGCUUUUUACGGUGAUUUUUAAUAUUUUUGAAUUUAAGACACCCAUAAAUUUUCAAAAUUGAUUUUCUAAAGAUAUUUUUAUCAAUAUUAUCUAAGCUUUUAUUUAUUUUAGUUAUCAUAUGGAUUUUAUGGAUAAUUAUCUUAAGUUUUCAAAACUCUGUAUUUAUCACUUGAAAAUAAUUUUGAUAAAUCCAUUUAAAUAUCUUUAAUUCUUAGAAUUAUUGAUAAUUAAAUGGGGUCCUUAUCCCGGUAUCUAAAAUUUUCCCACUCCUUUAUAAAUAGAAAAAGAAAUCUUAUGCCAGGGGAUUGGAAAUUUAGAGUAUAAAACGGCUAGUAUAUUUUGGCAAAACAAAAAGAGCGUACUGUGAGUUUUAGAACAACACUAAACACUUUGGAUUCCUACUCCAUUUGCAAACCGACCUUUCCUCUUGCUGAGACUCAAGAGACUGUGCAAUAUGGUGACAACCUGAGAGUUUCUCUAUCUCAAUCAUCUCACCAUACUCUUGUCUUUUUAGGGUUUCUGUUCUUUUUAUUGGCUUGAUUACUAUUUUCUUUGAUUUUGAUAUGUCUAGGUUUAGAUAUGAUAUUCUUCCUAUUAUCUUAAUCACAUAAAGCAUGCCUAAAUUUAGAUAUGCAUGUUUAAGGCUUAAAUCUGAUAAGUUCUAGGUUAAUUGAUUAAAAUGAUUUUCCAUGAAUAGAUUUAGUAAGAUGAAACUGUUGUUCAUUUAAAAUGUCUUUUAGGAAAGUUUUCUAUUUUACAUAUGCCAUUUGAUGAAUCUGACUAUUUUUAUUACUCUGUCCGUUUAAUUUCUAGCAUGUUUAGGACUUUAGUUUCCUUAUUUUCUUAUUCUUUGAAUGAUUAAUCAAUCUAGCUUGAUAAAUAGUUAAUUUUCACGUUUGAUUCUAUUUUGGUUGAGAUUACUAUAACUUUUUUAAACUGCCUUUUUCAAACACUUAGAUACAACGUUCUUGUUUUGUAAUUUCUUACAUUAUUUUUCUAUUUCAAUUGUUUUACUAAUUGAUUUUUUCCUUCUUAUAUGUGCGUGAUGGAUGUUUGGGUGUUUCAAAGUAUGGGUUUUGCUAAAAAUCGAGAAGAAUUGUCAAAAAUGAUAAACCUGUAGACCGAAGAACCAUAGAGCCGAUCAGCUCAACAUACAGCUGAUUGACUCUUCAUUUCCUAGCCCGUCCGGUUUUGGCAGUUUCGCCUGUUUUCGCCAUUUUCACCUGUUUUUUUGUUGAUUUUUGUUUUAAGUCAAUACUCAUAGGAGAGAUGUAAUGUUAUUAUUUUCUUACUUUAUUUUGCUUUUUCUUCCUUAUU
Molecule: long non-coding RNA, 2906 nt
Filed under: Ricinus communis (castor bean)
Lineage: Eukaryota; Viridiplantae; Streptophyta; Magnoliopsida; Malpighiales; Euphorbiaceae
Description: long non-coding RNA (RCOM_LNC002031)
Source: RNAcentral